Molecule: ribosomal RNA, 459 nt
Filed under: uncultured bacterium
Lineage: Bacteria
Description: bacterial SSU rRNA
Rfam family: Bacterial small subunit ribosomal RNA
Source: RNAcentral
GAUGAACGUUGGCGGUGUGCCUAAUACAUGCAAGUCGAACGGAGUUAAUAGCAAUAUUGGCUUAGUGGCGAACGGGUGAGUAACGCGUUGGUGAUCUGCCUUGAAGUGUGGAAUAACGUUUCGAAAGGAACGCUAAUACCGCAUGUGCUCUCGAUUUUCAGAAAGUUGAGAGUAAAGGAUUUAUUCGCUUCAAGAGGAGCCUGCGUCCCAUCAGCUGGUUGGUAGGGUAACGGCCUACCAAGGCUAUGACGGGUAGGGGACCUGAGAGGGUGGCCCCCCACAAUGGAACUGAAACACGGUCCAUACACCUACGGGUGGCAGCAGUAGGGAAUAUUAGAAAUGGACGAAAGUCUGAUCUAGCAACACCGCGUGUGCGAAGAAGGCCUUCGGGUCGUAAAGCACUUUUUGGAAGGAAUAGGAAGGAAUGUACUUCCAGAAUAAGUCUCGGCUAACUACGUG